RNAcentral lists this ribosomal RNA (1147 nucleotides) under human gut metagenome. RNAcentral's name for it is "bacterial SSU rRNA". It matches the Rfam family "Bacterial small subunit ribosomal RNA", at positions 361 to 1520 of the family's 1533-position model. The record is from RNAcentral.
AUAUUGGUCAAUGGACGGAAGUCUGAACCAGCCAUGCCGCGUGCAGGAUGACGGCUCUAUGAGUUGUAAACUGCUUUUGUACGAGGGUAAACCCGAAUACGUGUAUUCGGCUGAAAGUAUCGUACGAAUAAGGAUCGGCUAACUCCGUGCCAGCAGCCGCGGUAAUACGGAGGAUCCAAGCGUUAUCCGGAUUUAUUGGGUUUAAAGGGUGCGUAGGCGGUCAGAUAAGUUAGAGGUGAAAUUCCGGUGCUUAACACCGGCGCUGCCUCUAAUACUGUUUGACUAGAGAGUAGUUGCGGUAGGCGGAAUGUAUGGUGUAGCGGUGAAAUGCUUAGAGAUCAUACAGAACACCGAUUGCGAAGGCAGCUUACCAAGCUAUAUCUGACGUUGAGGCACGAAAGCGUGGGGAGCAAACAGGAUUAGAUACCCUGGUAGUCCACGCAGUAAACGAUGAUAACUCGUUGUCGGCGAUACAAUGUCGGUGACUAAGCGAAAGCGAUAAGUAUCCACCUGGGGAGUACGUUCGCAAGAAUGAAACUCAAAGGAAUUGACGGGGGCCCGCACAAGCGGAGGAACAUGUGGUUUAAUUCGAUGAUACGCGAGGAACCUUACCCGGGCUUGAAAGUUAGUGACGGACUUGGAAACAAUGUCUCCCUUCGGGGCACGAAACUAGGUGCUGCAUGGUUGUCGUCAGCUCGUGCCGUGAGGUGUCGGGUUAAGUCCCAUAACGAGCGCAACCCCUACCGUUAGUUGCCAUCAGGUAAAGCUGGGCACUCUAGCGGGACUGCCGGUGUAAGCCGAGAGGAAGGGGGGGAUGACGUCAAAUCAGCACGGCCCUUACGUCCGGGGCUACACACGUGUUACAAUGGUAGGUACAGAGGGCAGCUACCCUGCGAAGGGAUGCGAAUCUCGAAAGCCUAUCUCAGUUCGGAUUGGAGGCUGAAACCCGCCUCCAUGAAGUUGGAUUCGCUAGUAAUCGCGCAUCAGCCAUGGCGCGGUGAAUACGUUCCCGGGCCUUGUACACACCGCCCGUCAAGCCAUGGGAGCUGGGGGUGCCUGAAGUUCGUGACCGCAAGGAGCGACCUAGGGCAAAACCGGUAACUGGGGCUAAGUCGUAACAAGGUAGCCGUACCGGAAGGUGCGGCUG